AUUGAACGCUGGCGGCAUGCCUUACACAUGCAAGUCGAACGGCAGCACGGGUGCUUGCACCUGGUGGCGAGUGGCGAACGGGUGAGUAAUACAUCGGAACAUGUCCUGUAGUGGGGGAUAGCCCGGCGAAAGCCGCAUUAAUACCGCAUACGAUCUACGGAUGAAAGCGGGGGACCUUCGGGCCUCGCGCUAUCGGGUUGACCGAUGGCUGAUUAGCUAGUUGGUGGGGUAAAGGCCUACCAAGGCGACGAUCAGUAGCUGGUCUGAGAGGACGACCAGCCACACUGGGACUGAGACACGGCCCAGACUCCUACGGGAGGCAGCAGUGGGGAAUUUUGGACAAUGGGCGAAAGCCUGAUCCAGCAAUGCCGCGUGUGUGAAGAAGGCCUUCGGGUUGUAAAGCACUUUUGUCCGGAAAGAAAUCCUUGGCCCUAAUACGGUCGGAGGAUGACGGUACCGGAAGAAUAAGCACCGGCUAACUACGUG
Molecule: ribosomal RNA, 486 nt
Filed under: uncultured bacterium
Lineage: Bacteria
Description: partial 16S ribosomal RNA
Rfam family: Bacterial small subunit ribosomal RNA
Source: RNAcentral